CACCUGUUUAUCAAAAACAUGGUUUUAUGAUUAUAUUUUAAGAUUUAUUCUGCUCAAUGAUAAUAUAUUAAUUAUUAAAUAGCCGCAGUAUUUUGACUGUGCAAAGGUAGCAUAAUCAAUUGUCUUUUAAUUAAAGACUGGAAUGAAGGAAUGAAUGAAAUUUGAACUGUCUAUAAUAAAAAAUUAAAAUUUAAAUUUUAAGUUAAAAUGCUUAAAUGAAAUUAUGGGACGAGAAGACCCUAUAGAAUUUUAUAUAAAUUUUUAAAUAAUGUAUGAGUUGAAAAAAAUAAAAUUUAAAAUUAUAUUUUAUUGGGAGGAUAAUUAAAUUAAUUUAACUUUAUUAAUCAAUAAUAUAUAUAUAUAUAUAUAUAUAUAUAUAUAUAUAUAUAUAUAUGAAACAUUAAUUUAUGAAAAGAUGAAUAAAUUUUUAUUGAAUUUAUAUUAGAAUUAAUUACCUUAGGGAUAACAGCGUUAUAUUUUUUAAAAGAUCAUAUUAAGAAAAAUGUUUGCGACCUCGAUGUUGAAUUAAAGUAAAAAUUAAAUGAAGAAGUUUAAUAUUUUAGUCUGUUCGACUAUUAAAAUUUUACAUGAUUUGAGUUCAAAUCGACG
RNAcentral lists this ribosomal RNA (609 nucleotides) under Formica sanguinea. RNAcentral describes it as "partial 16S ribosmal RNA". The stretch from base 462 to 609 matches the Rfam family "Archaeal large subunit ribosomal RNA", at positions 2542 to 2690 of the family's 2987-position model. Lineage: Eukaryota; Metazoa; Arthropoda; Insecta; Hymenoptera; Formicidae. The record is from RNAcentral.